This is a non-coding RNA of Cinara cedri, 42949 nucleotides long. NCBI's taxonomy places the organism in Eukaryota, Metazoa, Arthropoda, Insecta, Hemiptera, Aphididae. The record is from the annotation of a GenBank genome assembly.
GUUUUAUCACAAACACGCAAACUUACCAGCUACCUGCCCGGUAUAAUACGUGUACUUAUUGCAGUAAAUUUGUUUCCGUUUCGUUCGUCUCGGUAUUCGUUCACGCCGAUCGCGACCACAUCACAUGUAAUACCGUAGGUAGGCGCCGAACCGUUUCGCGCUGGACCGUGCGGUAUACCGGACCUCUGACCCGGACCUUACCGCGGUAACCACCGCGGCGGACACACAAUGCUACCGGUACACUGGGCCGGCACCGGCGAAUCCGCUUCCGCGUCCGCUCGCACCACCGUAGACCGGCACGUCGAAACGUCGUAGAUCCCAUCGUUCGCCUUCUUCGCCGUUGAUCCGUGUAAGUACACCGCCACAAUACCGACACCCGACGUAACAAUCACACACGUUUUGUAUAGGUACUGUACGAAUAUUCCCGGUCCUGGGACGACCAGAGUGCAGACGUCGUCCGUCCGGGCCGAUGUUAUAAUAUAGACGUCGUUAUAAUAUUAUAGUCAUUGUCGAAAUGCAUAGUGUCUGUUUUUCGUAACAUUAUAAUACGUUAUACGGAUAAUGUGUCCUCGAAAAUCGCGGCGUUCGGCUCGUCUCGGCGGCUCGCAUAUACCCCGUUCCCCGGCCCUCGUCUCAAGCCGCCUCAAGCCCAUCCGGUGUCUCGGUCGCCGUCGCCAUCACCCUCCCAGCGACGACCUUGGCCCCGUUCCCGCGCUCGGACGUAUCCGAUAACAUUGUGUCAGGCAAUCGGUGACGUCACGGCCACAGUUUUAUUGCACCAUCUCGUCCGCACGUGUAUUUCAUAUCAUAUUAUAACUGAUUCGCAGUCGACGUCGUACACACUGUAUUUUAAACGCGCGCGUGCGCGCGAAACUCCGCGUGCGUUAACGGUCAUUGGUUCAGUAAAUAAUAAUAACAAUAAUAGUAAAAUAAUUGUCACCCAUAAAUAAUUAACGUUGCGACAUAAAUCCGAAAAACCGGGAUCGAGGAUUUUAGACAACGAAAUAUGGACUUCAAAAUACGAAAAUUCUAAUUACGGAUUUCAAAAUGUAUCAAAAUUGUCAGUAGUUUUUCAAUUGUAUGAAAAACGCCCAAAAGAAUCCGAAAUUGAAAAUGUUUUGCCGGGAGUAAUAAGUGUGUGUGUGUGUGUGUGUGUGUGUGUACUUUUAAUACUCGCACGGGUCGGGUCGGUGGGACAUACAGACAGAAGGCCAGUGAACAAGGAUCGGGUCGCGGAUACCGAAAUUACCCGUGUAUAUCGAAACGAAAUGCCGAGCGAAAACAUCCGUGUAGCGCGUAAAUUACGCGAUUCCAAUUGGGCGCGAACGUUAUUUACGCGACCCGGCCCAGCGCAAAAGCCCAUAAAAUAUAUUAUGGAUAAGCUUUUCGACCCUCGCGCCAUAGAAUUCCGCCUCCAUAUUGUAGACGCUCUCUGCCAUUCCGUAUUUAGCCGUACCUAUAUACUUAGUAGGUUAGGUUACAUAUAUAUAAAUAUAUACGCCUACUAUAAACUUGUUACUCGUCGUAUACAACCCCGAGAUAUUUCGGGAUUAACCGAUUACAUUUUACACGUGAAAUACGAUUUGCAGACUGAGGUAGACAAUAUAAUACGAUUUCGUGUGAAUUUGACGGUGUGUUUUUUCCCCGAUCGCUGUUAUGGAAGUGUUUGAGCUUAAUUUCAAGGAAGUGGGUUUGAAACGGUUUUCCAAAAUAUCGUCAAAUUUGAAAAUGACCACUUUUUACCUUUUUAUGGUCGCUAUAAGACUUUUCCACUAUAAUCUACUGCGCGGUUCCCCUUUUAAGGUAAAGGAGUACGGCCGUUUUUACGGAUGAAUAUGACGUUUUAUGUAUUAUAUCAGUGCUUCCCAGAGUUUUUCGACUUGUAGUUCCCGUUUUGAACUUAUAUUUUCUGGGAGCGCCCUUGCAAUUCAUUGCAAUCAAAAAACCUAUUCUGAUCGGAAUAGUAUUAGUCGCGGUUUUAUCACAUUGCAUAGCCAAGGUAAUCCAGGUAAAUAAAAUCGAUGAUCAACAAUCUAACAAUUUUUGCCAGAUUUUUUUUUAAAUUUUUGAGAGGAAGUGUUGGGAAUUUAAAAUUGUUUUUUUUAAAUAAACUAUUACUGGACAUUCGCGUAUUUUAAGGUACAGUGCGAAUAAUUUGAAGCAUUUUUUUUAAAAGAAAAAGUGUUCGAGAAAACCAAAAAAAAAAAAAUAAAAUAAAGACGCCACGCCGCUCUCACCGUUUACGCUGUCAUUUGGGUUUUAAAUUUGUGUUUAGACCACUAAAUAUUCAAAAUGACGAUGCGGCGCCCUUGUAUAUAUAGGUCACCAUGACGCAUACUUAAGGAACCACUGCAUUAGACCUAUAAGCUGGAAUAAAUAUCACCCACUACCAUUUUUUUUUUUUAAAAUUAAGUGAGUGCACUAAUUUCUAAAAUGUUACGUUUUAUGCUGGAUUGUUGAUCAGUUUAAUAAAAAUAUUGAUUGCAUUUCCAUCAUUUUACUUGGUUCAACAUGGAUUUAGUACAGUAACCAAUCUACUUACAAAUAAAGACAACAGUUGCAAAUAUGAAAUAACCAAAUAUAGGUACUAUGACUUCUCUUAAAAAUCAAACGAAACAUCUGUAAACUAAUAGUAUAACACCAAACACAUCCAUCUCAGUAAGGUAUUAUACUAUCUAUUUUAUUUACACAUUAUUAUACAUACACAAUAGAUUAAUGGUAUCAUUGCAUACUUCUGUGUUGUACUUUGAUCUUUUGGAGGGGUACUGUGAGGUUUUUUUUUGGGGGGGGGGGGUAUCGGUAAAAAAAAUGAGCUUGGGAACAACUGGACUAAGUAUAUAUAAAAACGAAUCGCUUUCAAUAACCUUAACACCAUUUUCGAAUUUGUACUCCUACUCCUUUUUUUGCCUUAAAUGAAUAUUAAAUUUCCCCUAAAUUUCAACACAAAUACUAGGCUAUUAUUUCUCAAGUUUCAAACGGUUACAAUUCAUAAACAGGAAAUUCAAUAUCAAUAUGUAAUGCAUAUCAACAUUUUAAAAAAAAUAUAGUCUCUUAUCGAUGCUUUAUGAAAGAGAUAUGGGUUGAAUAAUGUUUGGUUAGGUAGGGUAGAGUUUUAAAAAUAUUUUAAAUUGGAUCAUUAAAUAAUUCUGUAUUAGGAUGAUUGAAAAAAUCAAAAUCUUCGAAAAUGAUUAUUAGAUAGUAAUAAUAAAAGAAUGACCCUGUAGAGUUGAAGAAAGUUUAACCGCUGCAGCAGAGUUCAAUUUAUCGAAUUGACUUAUAGGUAUAGCAACAAUAAAUAAAUAUUGCAAUUUACAACGUUACGUUACGUUACUAUAAAAAUAUAAAUUAUUAUUUUGGUUAAUUUUAAUUUGUUUUUUUUUUUUUAUUGACGUAAUAAAUGACAUUUUUAUAUUUAUUUUUUCACAAUGUGUAGUGUAGAGACGGUAUUUUUAAAUUCAAUCAUUUGUUUAUUUUUUUUUUUUAAUAUGUAAAUUUAUUGUCUUCUGGGCCGUAUAGAAAACACGUAAAAUAUAAUAAUUAUCAUUCAUUUUAGAAGUCAUUGUAUUUUACGAUUAUUAUUAUUAUAGUUGAGUAAUGUUCACAUCUAAUUACAAUACUAUUGACUAUGCUGAUUUAUCGUUUAAAAAUAAACGUAUUGUCUGGAACGUAUUAUUAUUCGAAUGGCUCUUUUGUUAAACGUUGUCUACCCGCAAAACAAAAAAAAAAAAAAUCAUUUAUUUUGACAUUUUCCUUGUUGUUAGUUUUGUGUUUCACCGCCAUUAAUAACACGUUUCAUAAGUGUCUUAGUUGCCACAAUUUCGACUUAACGAAGGCGGUUGCAUAUUAUAUACUUCGUUAGUUGAUUUUUUUUUCGUUUCGUUAGUUUGUCGUAAAGAUUAGUAACUGUCUCGAGUUUAAUUUGAAAAAUAAUGUCAUUUAAUUAACGCGUCGUAGCGGUAAGUGACAAGUGUAAUCGUUUAUAAUAUAACAUUAAGACGGUUAUUUUUUUUUUGUCAACGCAAAUCCAAAAAAGAUACGAUCGAAUAUUAUAAACAAUUAAAAUAUUAAAAUAGUGUUUUACAUUGCUAAUAAUGCCAUAUGCUAAUAAAUCAGUCAAUAUUCAUUUUUUUUUCCCGUGGCUUCUCAGCAUAAAUUCUAGACUUCAAAUAGCCUCACAGAAAAAUGUCUGGGGAGGUGUUAAAUCGGGUGAUCUCGGAGGCCAGUCGAAAUCAAAAUGUUUUGAAAUUAAUUGUUCGAGGAACCAAAAACGCAAUGAAGCGAUUAUGGCUCGAGCUAUAUGAGUUAUGACGCCGUCUUGUUAAAAUCAAUGGUCAGUUCAUGCUGUUAUCAGUCAGAAAUGGAAUCAAAAUAUCCGUUAUCGUGGCCCGAUAACGCUCUCUAUUGAUGGAUACGACUGCUCCAGCAUCUUUGAAAAAGAACGGUGCAAUAAUUGUUUUCGCGAAAAUUCCGGCCCAAAAAUCACGCGUUGAUUAUAAAGAGGUUGUUCGUGGAUUAAUUGAGAAUUUUCACUGGCACAGAACCAACAAUUUUGUUUAUUUAUGGCCCCAUUCAACUUUAAAUACUUCAAAUUCCGAAAAUCGAGAAAUGGCAUUCGCUCUGUAGGCGGCCAUUUAGGUGAUAUUAUUUUUAAAAAAAUGAUCAGAACAAAUUUCCAAAAUAAACGAAAAAUUAUUCAAAAUAACAAUUUGUGUUCUUUUAAAGAUAUCCCGAAGGUUUAAAUGACCCACCAUGUAUAAUAAUAGUAAUUAUAAUUUACAGUCUAAGAUUAAUUCUUCGAGUAAAGUGCAACAUUAAGCACUGAAUAUCUAGUUUAACUUCAAUGCAAUGCUUGAAUUGAGAGGGGAUGCAGGGAGACGGAGUGCCUCAACUAAUUUUUCAGAAAUGUAAACGUACCUUUACUAUUUGUUUGAAGUGGAACGUAUGACAACGUUUUAAAUCUGGAAAGAGCUGAAUGUAAUAAAAGACUAUAAAAGUAUUCAAUAGAAUUUCUGAUCUCUACGAUUAUUUUUCAUUGAAUAAACGAAAUAGAAUAAAACAAAAGCAAUAAAUGUAACAGUUACAAGCUUUUCCGACGUUUUUUCUAGGCGUUCGUAAUUAAGAAUAUAAUAAAGAAAAUUUAAAAAAAAACCCUUCUUAUUACAUUAACGAGACAACAAUUUUUACUAGGAAUCAUCGCCUCUAAAGUUGAUAAUUGAAGCAAGAUUUCUGGUAGAAAAGUUGUUCACAUACAGAAAAAGAACAAACACAUCAUCCUAAUAAAAUCAUAGUAGUAACUAUCAUAUUAGAAUCUAAAAUAAAUAAUAUCUAUUAUAGUAAGUGCUAGGAAAUCAAAAAUUAGCCUGCAGUAGGUAGUGUUUGUUUUUGGAAAUUAUGAAUUACCUAUUUAUGUUAGACAAUUGGUGUGGGAGGUGUGUAAGCUCCCCACGGGUUAGAUUGAGUUCAAUAAUUGCAAGAGAAGCUAAUUUUUUUUUAUGACUUAUAGUCCCUCUUCUUUUAUUUUAUCAACUCGAGCACUGCUUCAAUGUCUGUAUAUGUGUUAUAGGGAUGAUAUUGAUAAACUGUCGAAUUACUAUCAAUUAUUUUAAUCGAAUCUAAAAAAAAGUCACGGAGAUUUAGAUCUGGCUUGACUAUAUCUGUAAACUAUUUGUAAACAAAAAAAGUAUAUGUGAUAAAAAAAAAAACACAUUUCUUUAUUUUCUCCAGAUUUUAAAACAUUUGUAAUAUUGAACAUAUUAUAUAACUUAUAUAAUAAAUUAUUUCUGUAGAUGAGCAAUGCUCCUUAGGUAGUGAUGUAAAUCGUAAAUAUUACUUUGAUAAAGUAAAAUAAAGCAAAUAUAAUUUAUCGAGAAGUAAUGAAUACAAUUUUUACCAUUUAAAGAGUACCAAUUUUUUUUUUUUUUAUCGUUUUAUUCAAAUAACCAAUUCAUUGUUACCAAAUCCUACUUCUCGGCAAGUAAUAAUAAAUUAAUAUGUACAAUGUAUUAUUUAGUUUUGUUUAGUUUCGAUAAAAUUGAUUUAAUAUUUGUCUACCUAAAAGAUUACAAGUUACAAGUUACAGUACAUUAUAACAUUAUAAGAAGUGAAACAAAGUUUCCACAGCUAUAGUUUGUAUUUUAAUAUAUCAAUAUGGGUAUUUUAUAAUUUCAAAAUAAUACUGUAUUACUCAAUUCGGUAUAAAUUAAUUAUUUUUAUAAUAUAGUUAUGGAAUAUAAACUACCGGUAACUGUACAUCACUACGACACUAUUUACAAUUCGUAGAUUGCGAUUCUGAAUUGUUCUAAAAAAAAAAAAAAAUGAUAUGAUGUCCCGUUUUUUAUUCGUCUCAAUCGACGUGGUUCGGUAUUCGUAAGGUGACCGUGUACCCCGUUUUGAACGGGACAGUCCCUUUCGUACCUCCGUCUCGUUGUUCCCCGUGGAAUCUUCGAGACGCAAAAAUGUCCAGUUUUCAGAUGGUAAACAAAUAAAUAAUGAAAAUCAAUUGCGUACACGACGGUUUGUAGUUAAACUUCUUGAACGUCGUCGCCGGUUAUUGGACUUAUUGAAGAAAUUAUGUUCCAACGACAAAUAUGCUAGUGUAUAGUUUUCUUUAUUUAAUUAUUAAAUAGAAAAAAAAAAUUGUGUAAAAAUGAGUUACGCGUGGUAAUAAGUGUGAUUUUUUUUCGUUCCGUAAAAAUAUAAUAAUAAGUAAUUAUAUAACUUUGUUCAUAAUUAUUAGAAAAAAAAAACAGAAAAAAAAAGUUUUCUUUAUACUCUACUAUAAACCAUUUUCAAAUGGAUGAUGCGUUUAUUUUUCUGUCCCGUUUUCACCAAACAAAUAUACGGUCAUCUUAUCACCCACCGUGAGCCCCUCAUCGGGAUAAAUGACCGCGCGAAAGUUUUCCGAGAAGUAAACACCCAUGGCUAAAUCUAUUUUCGGAAACCGUUAUUUUAUAAUUUUAUAAUUAUUACCGUUACGUAAUACAUUAUUCCACGAACCGAAAUCACGAAACACAAAAUAUAUUCGGUUACGUGAAAACACCAAAACGUAGUGGAAUCCGCGUGACGUUCGCCUUUCGGGUCUGAAGAUCAUCAGCCCCCCCCCCCCCAGUCUCCACCGAACACUUUUCCGGGAAGUCUAUCUUUUUGACAUUCGGCCACUAUUAUUAUACUGUUUGCAUUCAAUAGGGUAAAAACGAAAUUUCAAAACGCAAAUAAUAGUACGCCCUUUACCGGGUAAUUCGUUUGUAAUAACGAACCGCAGGAGCUUUCGAAGGAUUCAUUAAUCUUAACCCGUCGUUGGUGUAAGCACGUGAGCGCGGUUGAAAAUCAGCGGACAACUAUUGCGUCAAUACGCCGGGCUUUUAUCGUGAUUCCAAUUACUAUAAUAAUAAUAAGUUUAUUUUACUUUGGCAAUAUUAAUGUUUACAAUGUUGUUACAUAAUACAUUAGUGUUGCACUGCAACGUCUAUCACUAUAAAUAAAAUCCUCGUAUUUGAUGGACGCGAGUCUCUAAAAAAUAAUUAAAGUCACAUUAAAUAUAAAACAAGAUAAUAGAAAAAAAAAAAAAAAUAAUAAUAAUAAUUUGAAUAAUACAUAAUUAAAAUUCCAAAACGUGUGAGGACAUGCGCAGCUUCUCCCUCAAAUAAAAUAUAGAUACAACUUUAUGAUUAACAAAAACAAAUAUUUAAAUUCAAUUUUUAUUAUUAUUAUUUAAUAAUCCCUCAUGGAGAAAAAUUUAAUAUCCAAAUUUCAAAUAAAAAAAAUAUUAAAUUGCCUUAAAACAUAAUUGAAACCACGGUGUCUCAAAAACCCCGUCGAAAUUAAUUAUAUAUUUUUUUAAAUAAAUUAACACAAAUAGCCACAAAAUACAUCUAAUUUGAUAUUUAAUGAUUUUUGGUAAAUUGGCAACAUAAUGUACAAUAUAUAUUUACUGAAAUUUAAUCACAUCUUGUUUUUUACUUUCAAGUUAGGGCUCGAAAUGAACGGCAAUGCAAUUCUGGUUCAUAUUUUUAUAAAUCAAUUAAGCAUGCCAUAUAUAACACUAUAUGUUUUUAAUUAUGUGUUACGUAUGGUUCAGUACAUUUUGUAUUUUGAGCACUGGUGGAAGAGUAAAACAUUUAAAAAUAUCUCAGAAAAAUAAAUGCUGAUUGUUGUAGGCGAAUAAGUUGAGAAGGUAGUAUGCAUAAAGUUAUUUUAUUUGUAUCUGCAAGCAACGAUAAACUAUUGAUAGCAAAAUACGAUUUCGAGCGAAGUUUGGUUAUAUUUGAAUGGCCGUUACAAAAUUUACGAUUUUCUUCAAAAUUUGAUCUAAACCAUUAUAUAAAGAAAAUUACUACAUUACUUUUAUUUUUAUUUUUUUUACCACUAAAGUAAAACAUAUAAUUAACCUCCUGUUAAAUUUCCAAGCAUUUCUAUUUAGUCUAAAAAUUAUAUCCACAUAUAGUACCUACCAAAUAAAAACUACGUAAGGAAAUCGCAAAUAUAAAAUGCCUUUAAAUAGCUCAAAAAUCACUGAAAAUUCAACCACGACUAAAAAUGGCAAAUAUAAGUUUUCUGAAAAAAUUUUAAAUCCUUACGAAUUUUUUAACUGAAUAAUAACGAAAAAACAAAAGUAAAACCUUUCCCAUUCUUUCUACUUUUUUUUUUGGUUUUGCUCAAUGAUUAAGACAACGAUUUGAAAAAUCAAAAGAUAAUUUACUUAUUUACCAUACAGAUAGAAAAUUUGACAAAACAUGUCAUUUUCAUUCUUCGAUUAACCAUAAAGUGUAUAUAUUUAAAACAAUGAAAUCAUAAUGCCGUGGAUUUGUCAGUUUUUAUUUUAGUAUUUUUCCGGUUUUUUCUAACUAUUUUUUAAACCCCUUGGAAAACCAAAAAAUUACCUUUUAAACGCAUCAAGUAAAUCCAAAAUUGAAGAGAAAAGUUCUCUUGUCUCCCUCAUUCUCCCACCGUCCCCAAAUGAAAAAUAUUUCCUGCACCUUUGAUAUUAUAAACAAAAUUUUCCUUUUGUUCCUUAAUUCAUCUGUGAUGACGUCAGCGGUUUUAUCUCCGAUAGUAACCACGCCUAGUUCACAACAGUUCAUCAACCGAAUCGUAAACAAAGUGAGUGAUAAGACCAUCUAAGACGUUACCAAUGUCACCACAGAUGAAUUAAGGAACAUGAGAAUAAUAUUGAUUGUAAACCUUAAUAAUAAUAAUGCAAAUAUCAUUAAGAAAAGUAUCCCGAAUUUGUAAAUACAUUUUUUAUUUAAUUUUGUUAACGACUUCGGGCCACAUGGUCAUUAGACACUGGGCAACCUGACAAUUUCUCGGCGUUCCAGUGGUCCAGUUAGCCCCUGACAGUUUACAAUUAGUGAUUAACACAACUGAAUAGGUACAAUCAAACUACUCUAUAGUUUAUCGCAUUCAAAUUAUUCUAUGGGUUGAAAACUAUGUAUUCGAAUAAUAAUUUAUCUAUUAGGUUUUGGGAAAAACUAUUCGAACGUGUAUAAUUUGAAUAGUUUUUCGAUAUAUCCGAAGUUUUCUAUAAAAAGUAUUUAGUGAUGGAAAAACUAUUCGAUAGUUCAUCUAAAGUCUAAAACAUCGAAAGUUCGAUACCUAGUAUAAAUUAUUCGGAAGUUCUCAUCACUAGUUAAAACAAACUCACACAACCCCCUCAACCAGCUAUAUAUUGUGCAAUGGUUAGUUUUAGCAAUUUGUUUAGUAUUUCAUAUUUUUAUUUUUUUUUUUUUUUUUUACAUGCUAAACUUUUUUGAUUUUUUUUCGUUUAAAACAUCACAAUAUCGCAUAUAUUGACGUUUGUUUGAAUUAUUUCUAGCUUGACACCAGAUGUCGUAUUAUUAUGCAAACUACGAACAGAUUGUGUGUGUAUAUAUAGGUAGGUACGUUUGAAGUCUGUUUAACUUGACACCGUUGCAGAUGUCGUAUUAUUAUGCAAACUGCAAACAAAUUGUAUAGGUAUACAUAAAACGUGAAAUUGCAUUCAUAUUCGGCGUGUUCAUUUUGUUUUCUGCGUACCUAUUUCGUGUUUACAACCGCCUUUUGCCGGAACACGACGAUGAAUGAAUCGCAUAAUAACAAUAUCUUAUAGGAUAAGCUUAAAACUAUACAUAAUAAUAAUAAUAAUGAUAAUACUACAGUAAUGGGUCCAAGGUAAUACGACGUGACGCAAAAUUCUUGGUCUUGAAGGAAUGAUGUACAUAAAUAAUACUCUUGAACGCAUUUAAUAAUAUACGAGUAUAAUACUUGAGAGUAUAAAUCAGCGAUGGCAUUAUUUUUUUUUUUUUUUCAUUUGAAUUUUAGUGAAAUCUAUAUGGAUUUAUAUUACAUUUGUUUGAACGACGAUAAUAAAUUGUAUUGAAUUUUAUUGAAUUUUCAAUUUUCGUCUUUAAGGACAAAUCUCGGGAGAGCUAUUUAACGAAAGCAUUACAUACACAAUUUGUCUGUACGUACCUAUAUAUUUUUUUUUAUUUUUUGUCAAAAAGCAAUUUCAACAUUUAAUAAUAAAAAGAUCCGGUUGUGCUCCUAUUUACCUUAUUCAGGAUUAUGUGCUUCAAAACACGUCUCUAAAUCGCGUAUAAUAUGUACAAUUUAUUACUGCUACGAUAUUACUGCGCAUAUUCAUUUGAUUGAAUUACAUUAAGCCGUAACCUCGUUAAAUCCAUCCAAAAUUCAAUUAAUUUGGGUAAAAAUAAAUUUAAGCAAAAUGUUUGGCCCUUCAGGUAAACUAAUAUAUUUUUGAAAAAAAAAACACGAUGUAGCAUACAAGAUGUCCUACAGUGUUAUCCUUAUACUAUUAACUCUGUUAAUAGGAAUUACCGUGCCGAUUGUGAUUCUCUAUCGCGUAACGUGUUAUUGUAUUGAAAGUUGUUCUCAUAAAAAUUUUAUAGAAAUUAAAAUGGCUAUAACUAAGAAACUAUUGAUCGGAUAUGAAAGUAUGUUACAUUCAAAUUUUCAAAAUAAUAUCUUUUAUGAAAUGGGUGUUUUGAAAAUAUUGAAAACUGAUAAAAUAAAAAGUUUUUUUUUUCUAAUAAUUAAGGGAUGAAAUAAAAAUUUAAAUUUUUUUUACAUAUGUGAUCCCCUCACACAAAACCUAAUUGAAAAAAAAAUGAACGUUGACAGAAUUAUUAGCAUUAGGCGAUGACAUUGUAGGACACUCUGUAUUGGUGCUUACUAAAACCUUUGUUUUAUAUACGUUAAGUUUGAGUACAAUCAUUUCAAUUUUGGCUUUAAUGUAAAAUUUUGGUAUUUAAGGAAAUAUUUUCCUUCUAGUUUCGAAAGGACUUUUUCUGAAUAACCUAACGUUGUCGUUUGGAUUGAAUUCAAAAACUUGUAUAUUUUAUGUUACUAUUACGGCACAUUAUUUCUGUGAAGUAGUUCCAUUUGUUUUUAAUAAAGAGCUUUAGAUAGUUGUAUUUUGUUCAAUUUUUGAGAUAGAAAACACAGAUGUUUCCCUAUAAGAAAAUAAGAAAACGUACGUUUUAUUGCGCAUGUGUGUGGCGCAAACCUCAACUACAGUUAAUGUUUUAAAAAUAUGCAGUCUCUAAAUGUGUACUUUGGAAUACUCGGUCUUCGUAAGAAAACCUAAUCUUUGAAUGCUUGUUAUUCCCAAAAUAUGGGUUUCCUUUUUUUCAUCUUAAUAAAUUCAACAAAUUUUUUUUUUACUUGAAAUAAAAAACGUUAUAAAUAUAGUUGACGGAUUUUAAUAAAUUAUUUCAAUUUUAUUAAAAUUUGCUGUUUUUGUAUAAAAAAAAAAAAACCCGUAAAAAAUUAUUUUAAAAUCGCAUUUUGAAGUCAAAUUUGUAUUAAUAUAUUCUACAUAUUUAAGUAGUUUAUAAUAUAAAUAUAUAUAUAAAUAUAUAAAUAUAAAUAUAUAUAUAUAUACAUAAUAUGAAAAAAGUUGCAUUACAUGGUUGGGAAUAUUAAUGAAUUCAAUUUAUAAUAUUCAAACAAAUAUUAUUGUAUAUUUAUUAUUGGUCGGUUAUUGAUUGUAAUAAAUUAUUUUAAUCUUGUUUAUUUACUGUUGUUUCUUUCGAAAUUUAUUUUCAUUGGUAUAAUAUAUUUAUUUAUAUAUGUUAUGUUCAAUUUUUUACUCGAAAUAUAUUUAAAAAUUAAUAUUAAUUAGGUUAAUCGUAUGUGUGUAUAUAUUAUAUUGAAAUUCUUAUUACUUAUAAUAAUACACUAUAAUAUACUUUUAAUACUGUUACUGGUUUCAUAAACAAAUGUAUAAAAAAUAAAAUUCCUGGCCAUUUAAAAUAAGUAAUAAAAGCAGUUCCGGGAAUAUAGUAAAUUCUCUUAAGAAUAAAAAGUAAUAAAAACCAUAAAUAAAAUAAGUAGUUAUGUGUACUUAAUAUUUGUCGGUAAUUAAUCUCGAAAUAUUUUCGCGUCAUUUUUUACGACUUGUACACUUAUACUAUAUAAUUGUACGAAAUUAUGACAACUGUUAAAUUGUAUAUUAUUACUUAAACUAUAUGUGUAUAUUACACACAAUAAUCCACAAAAUAAUAAAUAUUAUAAGUUGUCUUAAACGUCAAACGUCAGUAAACAAAUUUUGUGUACCUAUGAAAACAAUUUAUUUCAAUCAAUGCGAUGAUUUAAAAAAAAAAAAAAAACAAAUAUAUAUUAUGGGUUUGUCUUAAAUAUAUUGUGUAUAUUAGGAUAGACCAAAACAUUUUUUUUUAUUUUUUCGUGGACCUAUCAUAUUUUAUUUGUACGGUUGUAGCAAUACCAUCGAAUAUUACUUCACAAAAUCGUAAAAUGUUGAUAAAUCAUCAAUCUGAAACUACCCUUAACAAAACACGAAGCAUAACUUUACAAAUGUCAAGUAUAGACAAGUACAAUUAGAAUUUAUAAAAUAGAUAUUUUUUUUGCAAUAAUAGGAAUAUUUGUCGGUUAUAUUAAUAAUCGUACGGCUAUCUGUAUUUGGUUCGAUCCUCUUUGAUCACGACCAUAUUAUUAGAUUAAUCAACGUCUAUUAAUUUCUAGAUGCAGAAAGGGCACAUAGUUUAAAAUUGUUCAAAAAAAAAAAAAAUAAAAACCUAAUAUUUCUGAAAAAAAAAAAUAGAAAAACAUCUGUACGUUUCUGCAGUUAUUUUAUGAAUGAAAUAUUAUAAAACUCUUGGAAGUUUUUUAUCUUUCUUGAACAUUUUGUAAAUAAAUAUUUGCCGUUUUAUCCAUAAUUUUUUUUUCGGUUUUUCCAAUUAUUAUGCAAUCCCCUCAAAAAAUCAAAAAAAUUACCUCCAAAAUUAAUUAAUAGAUCAAAUUUCCUUUUAGAAAAGGAUUGCUAGUGUUUAACCUAACCAAAGCAAGACUUUUGGUAGGAAAGUUGCUCACAGACAUAAAAAAAUUCAAAAAAUAUAAAAACACACAUCGUAGUAAAACCAAUAGAUCCCUCACAAAUCUAAAAAAAUAAAAAUAGAAAUAUUCGAAUAUUUUGCUAAACAUAGAUGUUUCCAUUUAAGAAAAUAAAAGUUUUGUUGCGCAUACCCCAGUUACACUUAAGAUUUUGAAAAUAUAUAUGCUCAAAAUAUGUAUUUUAGAACCGAAAACUUCCAAAAAAAAAAAAAAAAACCAUUCAAUUGUAAUAUUCGCGUUGCCAUUUUACUAUUCGAAUGAAAUACGCUGUAUACUGUAAAAUAUUAUAUUUUUUUUUAAAUCAUGAUUAUUGUUGUACGGUGGAAUGUUGUGUGACGGUUGUAUAUUAUUAACUCAGCUAUAUAUGUCAUUUUAUUAAAUAUAUAUUAUAUAAUAUGUAUACGUUUUAAAAAUACGUAGAUUGAUUCCGUUGAUACCAAUUAUUUAUUAACUUCAAUCAACAGCAGCUACUCUUUGACCAUUAUGUCGCGCUUCCGGUGUGCGUAGUACACAUCGUCAUCAUCACUUCCCCUUCCCACGCCGAAAGCGGUCCGUCUAGUUUUCUAAUCUGCAUGGCACUCGACUUCCUGUGUGCGUAUGUACACUCACAAGUCAUUCAUAAAAAAGGCAACAACAACACAGGCACACACACACACACACAUAUACUCAUCUAGAUAAUAGAAUUUAUACGUAUCGCUGACUAUUAAAAUCGUACAUUUUUAAUAAAAUUCAGGGCAAAACCGUACACUUUUAGUAGGUUAUAACCACACACUUUUUAUAAUGAUUGUAUCCAAAAACCGCACAUUGAUGUAUAAUUGUAUAAUCUAUUAUUUAUUAUUUAUAUAUUAUAUAUUAAAAAAAAAAACUGUGUAGGUACAAUUUAUGUGUUAAAAAAUGUAAGGUAUGAAACCACUAAAACAUUAAAAACUACAUCAGUCGAUAACUGUACUGGAAAAAUAUUUAAUAUUGGUUUGGUACAUUAUCAUCAAUUUAUUUCAGGUUUAGAUGAAAUACUUAACUAACAAAUAAUGGUUCGAGCAUAUCAACCUACGAUAAGAUAUAACUAUAUUAGCAAAUGCUUAUAUAGUUGGUUGUAUGCUUACAAAAAUAUAUAUUUAACAGAUUAUUUUAAAAUUAUAAAUACAACGGGCGUCUCUAUACACAAGACCUAACGUGCGGUUUUUACCCACUAUAAGUGUGCGGUUAUAGGCUAUAUAAUUACCUACCUGGCAACCGAUAGUGUACGGUUUUUGUUUUUUCGACCAUUUUGGAGUUGAAAUUAUAUUUGUGCAGGUUUUGGAUGCAACUAUUCGUAUGUAUUAUUGUUGAACUCGGUAUGAAUAUAAAAUGAAUGGACUCUAACCGAGCACACUAGGUCAUUCGUCAAUGGAAACAUUAUAUUCAUUAAUUUUUUUUCAUUUUUUUUGUUGUAGUUUACAUUAUUAAAAUUUGAUUUUCAACGAGUUUAUGUAUAAUAUGUAUAAUAUCUUACGCACAUCAUGCGCAUUGUAUACGAUGAUAAUAACGUCAGCAAUAUUAAUUAUAAUGGCAUGCAAUUUUUUUUGUUCGUCACCUAAUUUCCAUAUUUACAGGGGAUUCGGAAGUAUUGUAUGGUAAAUGAUAGUAGAAUAUGUAAAGUAUAAUGCGUAAUAGUGUGAUGAAGUGUGAUGAAGUGUAUCCAAGUAUGGAUAUGUCAUUAAGACAUCCGGUCAUGGUAAAAAGAGGGCGAAAGUUUCUCUACAGCGACUAUUUCCGUUGGAACUGCAAAAAUAAUAUUCACUGAAAUCGAAUUUAAAAUUUAAUAAAAUAAUGUACCUAUGUCGUUUCAUUGUAAUUAUACGUAUAGCGAAAAUAUUUCGUAUUUUAAUACUAUACCUAACUAUAUUAUACAUUGUUCAUAUUUUAAGUUUAUUAUAAAUUAAAAUAUUAAAAUUAGGUACAUUGUCACUAAGUAUAUAAUAUUAUUUUCAAAGUUAUAAUUUAAAUACAUCUGUUUUAAUAAAUUUAAAAAAAAACCCACUAUAAAUUAAAAUACUAAAUCUCAUAUACGAGUUAUUUGUAUAUUAUGUGAGUAUUUAAAUUAAACUAAAUUUUUCGGGGUUUGUAUUACAUUUAAUUUAUAUAUUAUUAUUUAAAUCUCGAUAUAUUUUUGAGAAACAUUAAUGGGGAAUUGCCUAAUAUUACGCAAGGCUGGGCAUUAACAAGUUAAUAAGUUAAAAGUUAAUUUAAACUUUUUAACUUAACUGAACAGUUUGUUAUUUUAAUUAACUUAAUUUUAAUUUAACUUAUUUGCCUCUUUAUUAACUUAAAAUCAACUUAAAUUGUUUGUAUUUGUAUUCUUCCCAAUUAAGUUGAUUUUGAAUGUUUACUAUUAUCUAGAAAAAUAUUUGAUUUAUUAUCAUUGUCCAUUUAAAAUAUUAUUAAUUCUUAGAUGUAAGUAUGAUUAUAAUUUGGAAAAUCAUUUAAUAUUAUUUAAAAAAAUAAAUAUAAUAAUAAGAUAACUAUGAAGAUAUUUACGAAGAAUUUUAUUUUUAUUCACAGACAAAAACUAAUUAAUCAUAUUAAUAAAAUCAAAUAAAUAAUAGUUUGUGUGAACUCCCCUAUUUUGGUCCAGGCUAAGAGCCUCAGUUCGCGAAGCUUUUCGACCUUUCUGGGAGGCUCUUAUUUGUCGUUUGAGUUAAAUGUAUGGCUAUCUCAGACGGCUUUGCUUGUAAGUAUUGAACCGAAAACAUUAAUUUUUUUAAAACAUAUUUCCCUAUGAUUAUCUAUUUCAUCUCCAAUCCUUAGCUGUUAUAGUUAACCACUCUUUCCUAUUAUAUACAAAUACAGGGAAAAUCAAAAAACGUUUUUCAUAAUUACCAACUAGAAUAAAAAUGAAAAAAAGGUUUCUUAAAAUAAUUUAAAAUAAAUGAAUCCAUAACACCAUACAUUUGUUUGUUUUUCAUUUUUCGCGUCUUUCUGUUUUUCUCAAUUAUUAUUAAAACUACUUAGAAAAUUUAAAAACAACUCUUUUCGUAAACAUUUUGAUCCAAAAUUCAACAAAACAGUUCUUCUGUCGUUAAUCUAUUGAACCAAUAUCUCUAGUAGAAAACAUAGUUUGAAAUAAUUAAAAACAAUGAAAUUGAUAACGGCUUGGAAUGCCGUUUUAACUAUAAUUUUGUUUUUGAGUUUUUCCAAUUUUUUUUAAAAACCUCUUUGAAAAUUAAAAAUAACACUCUGCAAAAUUUCACCCAUCAGAUAAAAUUUUCUUUUAGAAAAGGUGCUACACUCUAUAUAACGAAGUAAGAUUUAAGUAAGAAUCUAAAAUGUGUUUAUUAUUGAGUGUUUUCUUGCCCAUGACAAGCAAAUUACCAUCCAUAUCGCCAAAGUAAUCUAUAUAUAAACUAAUAAAGUUCAAAUUUUGUUCCAUAAAUAUCAAAAACCCUGUGUCAGUUAUCCUUUAGAAAUGGAAUUUUGAAAAUUCCUCCCUUAGUGCUUACGGUAUAAACGACAUUUAUUGUAAAAAUUUUAAGUAACUUCAGUGGUUUAGGCUGUGAAUAGUUUCUCUUUCAGUCAAUCAAGACAAAGAUACUUAUUACUUAUAUAAUUAUUUUAAUAGCAAAUAAACUGUUGCACUAUUGCGAUAGUUUAGUGUGCAUUUUAAAACCAUGCGACGAUACCUAGCUAUUUUGUAGCAUUAAUAUUGUAGUUUUAGAAGAAGCGAAUGUAAUUUGAUUUUAGAAAUUUUGUCGAAGACUUUAAUAGUUGUAAAUUAUAUAAUAUUUCAUACAUAAAUUUCUAUCUACUGAUAUAGUAUUCAGAUUACAAAAUAAUAAUAUUUGUUGUGCAUAUCGUUGCAACCUAUAUAACAUCAUGACGGUGAACAAUAACAAUGGAUUAUAAUAUACAAUAACACUUAUACACGGAUAAGGCGAGUGGUCAGGGUCGAUUACACGCAGUUCUCGGCCAAUAUCCGGAAUAUGAAUUUUAUGACCCUGUCGUAAAAAAUCCUCCGGUUUCUAUACAUUAUAAACGAUAAUCUUCGGUUUUACGACAUUUAAUAGCUGCAAUCGUCUCGGUGUUUCAAGGGUCGUUUGCUGAAGUACCUACAUAUUUCUCGGGGCGUUCUUUAUCCCCCGCAACGACGACAAGUCACUGGUUAGCGAUAUAAUAUCACCGUGUAUAAUAAUAUAUUGAAAAUAAUGUGUUUGGAAAAAAAAAAGGAAUUAGUUUUCCCGCUGCGUUUGAGAAUACUUAUAACGAAUUGGUGGAGAGCUGCAAGGGACAAAAAAAAAAGACUCGUUUCCGGUUUGUUUACGUGUUGUAUUUUGACGGUGCGUCUGGAAAUCGUUUGCGUUAACCGGCAGAUGGCAGUAAACGUAUACUCGAAUAUUCUUCGUUUGCUCGUUUUAUAUAAUAUCAACCGCCCGGUAUAUAUUAAGGGAUUGCGUAUAGGCAAUUUAAACGAAAUUUUUAAUAAAAUCAAAUUAUAAGUCUCGUGUCGUUAUACAAUUAUUUAUAAUUAAUCCAUGCAAUUUCUUCCAAAUCGUAAUCACAUAAAACAGAAAAAUUAGAUAAACUAUUCAAAGUGAUAUUAGAAUUUUUACAAGUUAUCCAAAUUAAAAAUAACAACAUAAUCUUGGAUCCAACGUGUUGAUUUUUAAUUUACUGAAAUGUGACGUUUCAAAAUUAAACAGUGGUCAUUUUUAAAAAAUAAGCCGGAAUUUUCCAAAAUUAAUAUUUAUUUAAAUGGAUUAAUAUGAAGGUAGUUGGAUACGUCAUAUAGUUUUGUUUUCAUUAAUGUUCAUCUCGGGCUGCUUUACAUUAAACCAUACAUACUUGUAGAUGUUUUCAAAUCAACCGCAAUGUUUUUGUGAUCAAAAACGCUCGCACCGGCGUGACAUGCUCUCAGCCCGCACCAUGGGUAUCCUAUGGAGGGGAAAGAUCUGAAAAUUGUUCCAGUAGUAAAAUAUGUUUCGAAACACUUCCGGUUUUUUCUUUCAUUAUUUAUAACUUGCUAUUUGAAAUAGUAUUUUUUUAUAUGACGUGUUAUGUAAUUCUUGUUAAUUUAUAUUAGUUUUUAAGUUCAAAUUAUGUUCCAAUUCAUCCAAAACACGAAUAAUUGCAUUCUAUUUUUUAGUAACAAAUCAAUACGAUUUUCAAUCUAUAAAUCUAUCAAAACAUGUCUAACCGAAUUCCGCUCAGAAUCGUGUUUUUCCCGCCAACGAUUUAUCGUGGGGUACAUAUAUAAAUUAAAUUAUAUUUCCCAUGUUCCUAAUUUUCCAUUCACAACUGUGGUCCGACCGCGACAUGAAGCACGUCGACAAUUUUGGGUUUGUUUACUUGUUGGUUUUACUGAGUGGUUUAUUUAAUUUAAUUUGUUGAUCUGUAAACAGUUUUUCUGUUAGAAAUCUUACAUCAAUCAAUAACUUUACAGAAACUUUCUUGUAGUAUUUUUUAUCUAUAGUUAGUGUAUUGAGGAGGUCAUUUUUUGAUUUUCUUUGUAGUUUUCUUAAUAAAUAAAUGAGAAAAACAAGUAGUUUUUAAAAAUACUUAUAAUAUUUAAUGCUCCGCUCAGAAUCAUUUUUUGUUUGCAAUAAUUUAUUAUUGCGUCUAUAUUGUACAAAUUAAAUUAUUCACUAUAUAACCUCUCUUUCAAAUUCUCUCCUAAAUCAGUGGCAUACCCAUCAGCAGUAUUAGUUUUUAAAUCGCUUUUCCUUCUACAUUGAAAUAAUAUGCCGGUACACGUGAACCGCGCGUCGCGUAUAAACAAUUUCCCGCGCAAAACUGAUCGUCAAAUGAGCACAUGAGUAAAACGAGUGAUAAAAGCCAAAAAUAAAUUGCACCGUGUUGUGACGAGAGAAAUGUUUUUUUUUUUUUUUUAUGUUUGAAGUCCUCUGUACAGAUCCCUUACUCUAAAACGGCCAAGUCUUGAAGUCUCGGGGGCGAAUGUUCGUAAACGUCGUCAGUAUCAUUAAUAAGGACAAACGUGUGCUUUUCGGGCGUUUCGCUCCGCCAUCCCUACUGGCUUCACGAUCAAAUUUUACAAUAAACGUUUGUUUUUAUGUAUUUAUAUUGAUAUACUGUAGCAGGUAUAAUUGUAGGUAAUAUCGUUAUUAUUGGUGAAAAUUCGAUUUUAUAAUAAUAAUACAGUGACGGCGCUCUGACGUUCACGGGUGUUAAUUUCACGCCGUAACGGUGGUUAUGCGGUGAUAAAUCACUGAGAUGAAUACUGAUAACAUUGAUUCAUAACAAUAUUUUGUAAUAAAAUAUUAUAAUAUUAUUGUGAUAUUGUUAUUAUCGUAACGUCGACGCCGGGUUCCGGCCGUGACCCUAGUGUGAGACCGCCGUGGUCGCCGUCGCCGCCGCCGUCGCUUCAUUGAUUGCCUACGACCGCCGCCGCCGUUCCGUUUUCCGCGUACGAAGCGAGACCGUUGCAUCGCCGCCGCCGAAGUCGUAUAACGUGUGUAGUAGUAAAAUCGUCGUAACGUCCGGCGGCAGCGGCUCCUCGAGUACAACGACCCCGACGGCCGUGUGCGCGCGCACCGCCGUCGGUAAGUAAACGCGCGCGUACGCGUUUCCCGCCACGGCGGCCGUCGCCCUCGCGAGCACGAGGCCUCGACAAGCGGCGCGGCAACGAAAAUAAAAAUAUUUUUAUUAUUAUUACGGCCGGCGCGCCUGGAAGGGCGGCGGCCCUCCUCUCCGUUCCCGACUAGACGUUUUUUCGUCGGAGCCAACGACCCGCGGCGGCGUCGACCGAGUGCCCGGAAGGGGAGGUGGGGGGGGAGGGGGUUUGUAGUGACGACUGAAGGCGGCGCGGCGUGGAUAGAAUAUUAUUUAGAGCAAGCGGCAGCGAGUGAGGGACGCCGCCGCUCUAUUUAUUAUUAUUAUUAUUUUUUUUUUUCACCAUUUCGUUUUCGAUAUGCCGCGGUAUAAUAUUAAUGUGCCCAUAUUUUGUUCCCGACCGGUAAAUUUACAGAGCUUUCACACCCCUUAUGAUGGUUCGCGUUUAAUACAAUUUGAACAGCAUAUAUUCUCGUAUAAUAGCCGGCGAUAACAAUGUUAUUGAAUAACGUUAAUAUCCUAACGCCUACUAGGGCGUCGCUUAGUCAUAGUGGUUAAAAAUAAAAUUUCUACUUCACCCCACAGGCGUAGCUAGAGGGUUUAUAGGAGGUCUUUAGCAUCCCCCCCGAGUUCAAAAUUUGCACUCCACCCUCUAAAAAAAAAAAAAAAAACAAUAAACAAAGUAAUGAUUACAUAUUUUAUCCGUGACGUAUUUUAUAAUUAAUGAGCAGAACAAAAUACUGAUUUCCUACAGACAAUUUAUGUGUACAUGAAAAAUAAUGUUAAAAUAAUUACGAUAAAUUUCAAUACGUACAAUUUUUAAUGAAAUAUGUAGUUGUUUAUUGUAAGAAUUGUGCAAAGGAUACUGUGGAGGCACAGCUCCCAUGGGUUUUUGAUGUGUCCAUAUUUUUAGCACCCCCAAAGUUGGUAGUCUAGUUGUGCCUAUACCUAACCCCCUAAAAAGCGGUUAAUAUCAAAUAUUGAUAUGUACACAUUUUUAGUACAAUUGGACGAAGUUCUCAGGUGCCAAAAUAAACUUCAACUAUAAUUAGAUCAACUUAAAUCGGUCAUUUAAAAAAAAAAAUUAAAUUCCAAUUUGAAACCCGAUAACUUUGCCAAAGUUCACUAAAAAUUUGUUCGUAUUAAUGAUACCACUUUUAAAGGAGUAAGGCAGGAAAAAUAAAAUUCCUUCCUUUACUUCCUUUACAGUGGUGGCGUACAUCAAAAAUAUUUUAUUGGAGAACAAAGGUAAAGCAAUGUUUAACAAGUUAGGAUAGCCGACCCUGUGAAAGUUCAAAGUUUCCGGUUUCUAAACGUAUUUUAAACAAUCAACUAUAAUUCCGUAUACAAAUUCGAAACAAUUUAGGUAACCUAUAUUAAAUAGAAACAUAAAUAAAUUAUAAAUCGUAAUCUGUAAAUAUUUUUUGAAAUUCUUUAAGUACUACUUAUACUAGUACUACCUAUUUUAGAUUCUGUGCAUAGAUAUUGUUUUUACUAAGAUAUGUGUUAUUUUUAUUUUUAUUUUAUCUGACCGUGAACUAAUUUUCUACCAGAUAUCUAAAAUCAAAAACUGACAAAAUACCUGUGUGUUACAUUUUCGAAAUUUGUUUGAUUUCCCAAGUGGUUUUUAUAAUAAUAAAGGAAACCGGGAAAAACGUAUAGUCUUAGAAUUUUCAACGAGUACCUUGAUAUCUACACAGACGUGGUAAAAUGUUUAAAACAAUUUUUCAGUUAUUUUUAUGCAUUUUACGUUUUCAAAUUGUUUAAGGUAUUUUUAACUUAGAGACCUAAAAUGAGACCUAGUAACCUUUUUUUCGUUGGAUUUAAGAUAGUUUUUUUCAAGUUUUAUCUUUCCCAGUUUUGAUUUUCCACAUUUUGAUAGCCGUUCGAUUUCAAUACAAAAAUUCGACAAUAAUGUUUAUUUAUUAAAAUAAAUUUUGAUUAAUCUGCUAUUGCCAAUCGCACAUUGCACAGUUCACUGCAAGGGUAUAUAAACGAUGUCUGACUCAACUUUUACUUGCAUUGAGUUAUAUAAUGUAAAAAUGUAACAUUUAUGUUAUACAGUGGACGCCGCUUAUAAUAAGACUCACGGAUAUAAGACUCAGUCACUUAUUGAAAUAAAAAACACUUGGAACAAUCCGGACAUAUCCAAAUACAUUGUAUCCUUUCGCCACUUCACCUAUAAAGUUCAUUCGGUUAUAAGUCUCACUUUCUGAUGGUCCCAAAGUGAGUAUUAUAUUUCACUGUUUUAUUAUAAAUACAAAAUUGAAAUAUAAAUUUAAUACCCAUUAAAUUAUACGUAUUGUAUCUUUUAAUGUCUUCUUCUAAAACCUUAAAAAAAUAAGUACAUUUUCGAUUUUUCAACUACAUAAUUGUAAUUUCCAAUUGGUUGAUUAUACAAUAAUCCGAAAUCCGGGGUUCCAAAAAAAUUAACUGAAAUUAAUUCCCUAAAAAAAUAAAACUAUGGUUAAUCGUACAUACAUUAUUUACAUCAAAAACACUUUUUACACGUCAAUAAUAAAUAAAUAAAAUGAAGACAAUAAUAAUUAUGUGUGUGGUUAAAAAAAAACCCACGAUACGCGAGAAUUAAUAAAAUGUUUUUAUUUUUUUUAAAUUUUGACCGAGAAAAUGACGUACCUACCUAUGUUAUUGAUAAAGAUGUUCAUAUAUUAUGCAAACAAAUAUUACGUCAUAUGAUAUUUACCUAUGUUAUUGAUAAAGAUGUUUAUGUAUCAUGCAAACAAAUAUUACGUCAUAUGAUAUUACGGUUUAUGACGUAUUUAUUAUUCCUUAACCAAAACGUUCAAAAAAACAUACUGUGCCUGUUUUACUUUGAGAGGUGGUACUGAAGGUAUCCUUUCAAUGCAUUCUUUUAACUAAAAUAUAAUUGAAUAUAACCGUUAUUCGUUAAUUGUUAUAAAGUAUUUCCAUUUUAUAAUUCGAGUAUCUUUAGAUAUUAGUUUAUUUACUAACGAGUUGUGAUGUUUUUCUUAGAAAUUACUUUUUAAAUGAGUAAAAUGCUCCGAUUUUUUUCAAGCAUUAGGUACAUUAAAAGAUGCAGAACUUCCGAUCGGUAUUACUUUAUUUAAACAUUACUAAGACUUUAAAGAAGAAAACAUGACUAUUAUAAUACUAUAUAAUAAUAUAACUCUAUCGGUUUAUCCAGCUCUGUCCACAAUCGUUUUAAGAUAUGUUUUAUUGUUGCUUUUGAUAUUUUAUAAAUUAAAUUACCCUAUAUAAUACACAUAUAUUUCGAUUUAACGUUCCACCUACAGUAGACAAACAGUGACCUAUUCAUGUCUGGAUUAUCGUAUAAGUGAGUUGAGUACGUCCGUAAGGCUAUGCACUGGCAGGACUAUUUUUCUCCAAAUUAUACACAAUAGCAAUUCAAAAGCAUAUUCAAAUUUUGUAUUUUGUAGUAUAAUUUGAUAUUAAAAAAUUUAAACCACUUAAAUAAAAUACUUGUAUUCCUAAAUUUUCUGGUGUUGGUUAUGAUUAAUAAUAAUAAGUUCAUCCAAUUCUAAAUUUAUUACAAAUUUUAAAAUAACUUACACAUUAUUCUACCUGAAAAAAAAAUGUCUGCGAUUCGCAGUGUGAUUGAACGCCUUCUUAGGGCUAUAUACUUGGGCUUAAUCCUGCCCUGGGCUACGUAAAGUAUGAAGUUUAUUCGGAAUUUGUGUCUGUAUAAUUCAUAGGGAGGGAAAUUCCUGUAAAAUGCAUAAUAUUCGUAAUAACACCAUGAAGAAACGAAAAUAAAGUAUCGCGUACAUGAAUUUCAACGUGUUUAAUAUGUAAAUCGUCAAACAUUGACCUCUUAAAAAACGGGAACGAUACUCUGCUACGUUAUUACACAAGGAUAUAAUAACUGCAACAGUAAUAUAAUUCCAGAGUGUACCGCAGUAUAAAGGUCAAUGUGACUUGACCUAUUUCGAAGUUUACGUAUACCCUCGAGUUUUGCGAGCGUAUUUUUUUAUUUAUAUCGAUUUUUAUAUUUAAAUAAACACACAUAAUAUAUUAUAUUAUUAAACGUUAUACUAUGAUUUAUGACGUAUUCUAAGAAUAUUAUUUAUUUAUAUAACAAAUCUAUAUAUAUAUAGAUCACAUAUUCUAUAAAAAGCAAGUAAUAAAAUUGUAUUUAUACGCAAUAUUGCACAACGCUGGCCGAAAAUUUUAACAAAAUCGUAAAAAAAAUGUAGAACAUUGGUACCUACCCACCCAUAAAUAUUAUAAUAAUAUUCUAAAAAAAAAACCCGCAAUGUCAGUGUCCUGUAGUAUCUAAUACAUACGUACGUUCCAGUUCCUAGAAAAUGACGUCAAUCGUAAAUUUGACGUUAUGCAAAUCGAAUUCAAACAAUGUUUUAUUGUUAACAGUCAUGAUCCGCGCUCGCGAUAUAGGUAUACAAAGUUUAAUUACGUUUUUUUUGUUAAUUAUUCAAAAAGGAAACAAGUAAAUUUUAUAUGAUAUUAUUUUUUCGUGACAUUAACACUAAAACAGCAACACAUGAUAUUGAAUUCAAUAUUUAUAGUAUAGUUUAUUUAUUUAUUUGUUUAAUAUGAAAGGCUUUCACCCGGGUAAAAAACAAUAAUAUAAUUGAUAACCAAAAACUUAAAACUAGUUCACAAAGAAAUCGUACGAUUUAAACGAGAACAGGAUGAUUUAUUUUUUCUAUUAAAAUCGUACGAGUUUCUCACAUUUUUAAUAUAAAUUUGAUUUCCGUUUUGUUUCUUUUUUUCGAUUGUUACAAAAUCGUUUACGAUUUAUCCCAACAUUAUUUUAAAAUAUUACCCCUCGUUACUGUUUAUGCCUUAAAUGAGUAUUAACUUUAGAUUUACAAAUGAAAAGUUGGUGAGUUAAAAUGUGAUCAUUUUUUUAAUUUUCCUUAUAGUUUUCCUAAUAAUUGGGAAAAAUGGGAAAAACGUAGGAAACAUGGGGAAAUGUACAGUUUCGUAAUUUUAAACUUUCUAUUUUUGUCGUAAUUCAGUUAAAAUUAUCGUAAGGAUCUGAUAUGUUCACAAAAUACUUAUACUGUCUUUUUAUUGACGUAACGAAAUGUUCAAAACAUUUUUAGUUUUUAUUUGAUUUUAUGUGGAAAUAAUUUUUUUGCCUUUUAACCAUUCCAAGAUGUUUGAAAAUUAUACACGAAGUCCAUCAUAAGUUAUGCUUGAUGGUAAAAACAAAAAAAAGUGAGAGUUAUAUAGUUUUUUAAUAUGAUCUUUUAGGCCAUAUUUUGACGAAAAUCGUUAAAUUUAAUUUACGGUAUUCAUACGGUGUAUACAUUCAUAACAUGUUUAACCGAAUUUCGCUUAUAAUUGUACUUCAUCAGCAAUAAUUUAUCGUUGCGUACAAAUAUAAAUUAAUUAGUAACUUUAUUCUAUACUUUCUCAACAUCUCGCCUACAACAAUGACACACUCAUCAGCAUAUCAGCUCCUUUUUAACAAUAUAAAUAGAUAUUAUAAUUAAAACACUUAGAACACAAAUAAAUAUUAUUAAUUAUUUUAUCAUAGUAUGACACAUACUUAUACUUCGCUCAGAAUCGGUUUUUUGUUAAUAAUAGUUUACCGUUACUUACAGAUAUAUAUUAAAUUACUGUUUGUAUCCUACAUUUCUUACUUCCCACCUACAACAAUGGCUGCACCCACGUGCGAAUUAUGUCCGUCCUAUUUUUCUUUUGCUUCCCGUGCAAUUUAGGCGGUUUACAGCUUCUACAAGAGUCCUCCAAACUUCUCGAUCCUCUGCAUAUUUGCUCCAUUUCUUAAUCUCUUUAAGUCAGUUUGAACUCGAUCCAUCCACCGCUAUCUUGGUCUUCUCACAAGCUAUUUUUCAUUUGGCUUGUUAAUGAGUACCUGUCUAAUCAAUUUCUGUAUCCUCUAUACGCCAUACAUGACCACUCUAAGGUUUUGAUCUUAGAAAAUCUUGUAAAUUGGGUGCAUUAUAUAGUCAGUUUAGGUCUGCGUUUUUUCUGUUCUCAUAUACACCAGUAUUGGGAUUUAACAUAGGCCCACAUAUUUUCCUAUGUAUUUUUCUUUCGAAGGUCAAUAGUUUAUUCUCUUCUUGUGUCGUGGACCACGUUUCACAACCGUACAUUACAAUUAGGCGUAAGUAGGCAAUGUAUAGUUUUCUCUUUAUGUCCUCUUGAAAGGAGUUUCGAUGUGAAUAUUUUAUUCAUUGCUUAGUACCCACAGUUUGUUGCACUUAUUCUGGACUUAAUCUCAUUAUGCAUAUUAUUUGUAUGAUUUUGAUUUAUAUUAGCACUUAAAUAUUUAAGUUUUUAUGAAGCAACACAAGUUCAUUAUUAUUUAGUUUAUAAUUAAAAAUAGGUAUUUAAAUUUUUAAAACUGGUGAAUGAAAUAAUUUCGCAUUUAUUAAUGUUUAAUUGAAAACAAUUUUUCACGCUCAAAGUAUACAAUUUGUUUAAAUGAUUUAAUAUCUCAGUAUGGGAAAGUUAACAAAUUGAAUAAAAUAAUUUAGUAUAAUCUGCUAAAAUUAAUAAUUUAGCAUUAUUAUUAAUGAUAAUAACAGAGGCAAAUCAUUAAAAAAAAUUUUAAAAAAAACAAAAGCCCUAAGUGAGAACCUUAUGGAAUACCUGAUAAAAUUUGAAAUCCAUCGGAACUAUAAAUUGAAAGUUGAAUUGCUUGAGAACGGUUAUUUAAAUAAGAACUAAUUCUUAGUAAAAAUAUACCAUUAAAACCAAAAGUCUGUAAUUUAAGUAAUAAAAUACUAUGGGUAACCUUAUUAAAAGUUUUUUGGAAAUCAGUGAAAAUUAUAUCUACUUGACAAUUUUAAUCUUACGAUUGUAAUUAGACAUACUUAAUAGGUUCAUUAGAACCGAAUGUUUUAGUAAAAAAACAUGUUGGAGAGAGCUUAUGUACUUUCAUCAGUAAGGCUGUCAAUAUUUUGGAAAUAAUUUGGGAAUAUCUGAUAAUUUUGAAAUUGGGCGAUAAUUUCGUAUAUCACUUCUGUUACCAGAUUUAAAAAUUGGUGUAAUAAAUAAUUUUUUCCAAAUGGUAGGGAAAUGUCCAGUAUUAGGUGAUAUGUUAAAUAAGUAAAUAUUUAAUUAAGGUUGAUUUACAUGCUUUUCAAAACGAUGGUGGAAUAAUUCCAUCUGGUUCAGUACCAGACUGUACAAUGAAUGAAGUAAGCACAUCAGUAUUAUUGGACUUCAAAAUAGACCAAGAGCACAAGUUUAGAUCAUAAUUUUUUAAUAAAGAAACAUAAAUAAGUUGUAAUUUUCCUACUUUGUCUGAAUUACUUGUGCCACCAGAAGCAUUCACGUGUCUGGUGUCAACCUAGUCCCAGCCUUAUGCAUAACAGCAUUUUCAGAAAAAUAUCCUUUUUUUAAAUCUGUUUCAAAAAGACGGAUAGGAUAAGUUGAAACAAAAAAAUUAAUGUGUAUGGUGUACAGAAUAAGAACAUUAUAAUUUUGAAAAUAUUGCAAAUAUUCCAUAUGCAAGUACAAUGAACGAAAAAAAUCAAUUAUGCACAAAAUCUUCAAGGAUAAUCGCUUGAAAAAAAAUCACAUUACAUAGUUGUGUGGAGAGGGAAAAUAUACAAAAAUAAAAAAUAUUGUAUUAAUGACGUAGAUACGAAUUUUAAUAUUAUUCGUGCGUAAGCAAAUUUAAUGGCAUACUGAAAAUUAAUUUCAAAUGGAACGAAACUGAUUAAAUUAUGGUAUCACGAGAUUUGACAACUUUUAGUAGGUACCUAUCUAAUUAAUUCAACAAAACAUAUUACAUGCAGUGUAUUAAAAAUAACAUUAUCAUCGUGCGUAGAAAUUAUUAUGCAGAUUACAUUGGCAGAAAUGUUUUUAUUACUUAUGCAUAAACAUUAUGAACAAAAAUUUGAUACAAACAAAAUUAAUUAUGUAACGGCAAAACACGAAAUCGUUAUCGCAAUUUAUGGUGGAAUGCGAGGUAUCAUUAUAUCAACACUUUUCAAAAUUGGGCUAAUCCCAUUAAAAACUGAGGAUUUUAAUAUUUACGACAGUCGUAUUUUGGAUAUUUUACGGAAACUUGAUCGGAAUUUUUGAGACACAAAAAGCAUUUAAAAAUCACCUCUUGUUAUACAGUGAUGCGAUCGUAUUGGAAUUAGAAAAUGUCAACUAUUUCAGCUAUUUCAGUGCGCAGACAGUAUAGCGGCAGGCUUUACAGGAGUGCCCGAGUAGUGUUCCUUUAUUAUACAUCUUAAUUGUCGCUUUAAAAAAAAAAAAAAACACUUUUCUGAAUUGGUAUUUUUACAGUUGACCUUUGACUACAUAAUACGGCCAUCAAUAAUAUAGGUAGCAUGACCUACCGCAACCGGACAUAAAAUGCUGUUUGCAACAAAUAUUAAAUUUCGUCUCGAACCGAGCUGGUGGGUGUGAAAACCGUUUUUCAGAGGAUAAAUAACUUACGAGUAUUAUAGACGGCGUAACAUUAACGAACGAAACGUCGUUAAUAAAAUAAAUAUCAGCUGUACAAAUACUUCAAAUGGAGAACAUAAAAAUAUUUUAAACUUGCUUUGAAUCAAUUUAAUAAAAUUUAGUGAUUAUUUAAAAUGGGUAAUGUCAAAUGUGGUCAUUAUGAGGUAUUUGUGUGAUUCGAUUCUUAUAAAUUAAAUAUACUUUUUAUGAUUGCCGACAACCGAUUGUUUGUUCGGAACCGUUCAUAUUUGAUAAGGAUUGUUAUCAUAUAAUAAUCGCGCGUAUUAUGGCUGUUCGGGGCGCACGAUAGUAGUGUUAUUACGACGGCGCGAAACGUUCGCAGUUUGAUAACGCGCUUAUCGCGCGGCUGCCGUGACGUUGGCCGCAGGUUCGUUGGCAGCAGUCUCCUCGUGCGGUAGGCGUAGUUAGGAUCGUUGACCAUUCCUUACAAGAACGACCUUGAGGACGUCACCGCCGCGGUUGUGUCGAUUGUACGGGCAGGUAGGUAUGUACGCGACACGCACGUGUGCAGCGGUACAUUGCUGCAACAGCAGCAGCAUCAGCAGCAGGUAUAGAACGCGAAGACGUUGGAAAAAUGCGCGCAGCCUCGGGGUGCUCCCCCUCCCCACGCGCGUAAUAACAAUAUUAUCCUCUUUGGAAUUCACGCGUAAUAAUGCGCACAUAUUAUUACAGAGCGUGCGGCAAAAGCGCGGUAAAUACACUGCAACUGGCGACGGAUUUCGAAGAAAUGACCGCCGAUGUCGAUGAACUGUCGCCGCGCCGCGAGAAGAGCCGCGAAAACGCGCGUAAACACGCCGCGGCCGUUUUGCGUCGUAAUUUUUUAUUAUUAUUAUUAUUUUUUUCUUACUGUCGAGGAGGGAGAUCCACGAUGUAAUAUUAAUAAUAAUAGUAUAACUGCAGCGGUGGCGACGACCGUUGCCCCGGCACGUAUAACGGGUCGUCGUAUAAUUUGUGUUCGUGUUGACGUUUCGUGCCGUCCUUGUUGUUGUCGUCGUUUUCGUUGUUGUUGUUUUCGUCCGGAGUCCGGGCUCCGUCCGAGUGAAAAGAGUUCAAUGAGUGGAUAGAAAAUGAAUCAAUAACCGGGUGACCGGCCGACCAGUAUUAUUAUUGUUGAAUUGUUGUUGAUUCGCAGUUUGCCAUAGUAUGCAUCGGGUAUUUCCCACGGUCGUGCUGCAGCAAUAAUAUUCAUCACGUCGUCGUCUUCGCGAAUUUCUAAACAAUAUUCCAUUGUAACGGUGUUCGAGAAAUGUUAUGGUCGUCAUCGAUGUCUUCGGAAUUCUUAAAUUUUGUUUUUGUUUUUUACCGAAAGAAUGUGUUUAUUUUUGUAAUAUAUCGGCCCGGUGUCGUUUCCCCGGGGGACGGCUAAUGGGUUUCGGACCCUCUCCCUCUUUAAUCCGUAAUCGUGUUAAAAUAAAAAAAAAUAAAAACUCAAUUAUUCAGAAUUGAAAACGUAUUAGGUACUAAUAACAAAUACACAUUUGUACUACGGAGUACAAAUAAUUUUAAUACACUGAAGUUAUGCACAAUAUAUAGAUAUUUAUAGAUAAUAGAUAUAUUAACAUAAUUUUCAUUUAGUUGUUUAAAUCCCUUCGUUAAAAUAUUCUGGAUACACCACUGUAUCGACCCCUCUUUAGUAAUUUUGUUUUUUUGUUUUAGGGAUAGAAUUAUAGGAUUUGAGUGGUAGGGUGUGGCUAGCAUUACAUUUUUUUAAUUCGUCCUACUUCUCUUGUUUACCUCAUAUCCUUAAUUAUGGUAUCUUCCUUAAGGUUUUAUUUCUUAAGGGGGCAAUAAACAUGUUAUGAAAUACUGGGGUCUUCCAAGUUAGGAACAUUCAGUUUUUAUUUUUACCUGGGUAUGACGUACGUUGACUAGUUUGGUAACACAAUAAGUAUAUUUCAAAUGAAUUUGAUGAUUAUUAAUUAGUUAUUAUUAUGUUAAAAAGUAAUCAUAAUUUCAAUGGGCCUAUAAUUUAUGUAAUUUAAAAAAAAAUAUACUCCAUUCUCGUUUGAAUAAUUCAAACACUAUUGUGUCGAUAGAGUAUUAUUAUUAACACUAGUAUUAGUAUAGUUUUAAAGUGUUUAAUUGGUGUACGUGUUUGUUUAAAGUUAUCGAAUUAAUAAUAUUACACGUCGUAUGCCAUACUAAUUCACACAAUACACGUCUGACGUCAGUAAUAAUACAUAAUACAUUCCGAACUUCUAAUUUAUAUAGGUAUCGAUAUUCUCUUGGCGAUUUAUUAAAGCUACAAAUAAUAUCCUGACGGUGAAAUAUUACAAAUUGGUUGCAUAUUCUAUCAAGGCUGAUCAGCGGUUUAUAAGUGCUAUGUUAAAUGGAUAUUUGAUGCAGGAUGCCUCUCACCGGUCUCUUCGAAUCUUCUAGAAAGAAUCCCUUUUAGAAUAUUUCCUUGUCAUUUUAUUGCCAACACCUUACUUUUUCUAUCACCAUUCACAUCACUUGUUACGUAACAAACUCUUUUACUGCGUGAUCAGGACCUUUAAUCCUUAAUAUCUCUUGUUCUGCACAUAUUUUUAUUGCAUUGUAUUUUUGCUUUUCUAAUAAUGUAUUCGUUAUGACUUUUUUGUUUCAUCUCCGCCUCUAUUUACUAUAUUGUUAUUCGUUUUAUUUGUUAUUUUCUCUCGACCAUUGUUAACUACCGUCGGGCGUCUACAUUCCAAUAAAUAAAAUAAUCUUAUAUUUUUUUCUGUUUAUGCAACGAGGCUCAAAAUAUUAUAGUAAGUUAAGGUCACCAUAUUAUUAUGACGUUAAUACUUCAUUGUAGUUAAAUGCCGUUCAUAGUUCCCCGUGAAAUAUUCGGGUUAUUUACAUAUUAUACUAUUAUGGUUUUCUGACACGGCGAUAAUAAUUGAUAAAAUAAAAUAUUAAUUCACCCGUAUUUUAUGUUUUGUAUGUAUAAUAAUAAUAUCUGCAGUAUAUGUACUCGAUUAAGGAUGACAUCAAAAUGUGUCUAUCUGUAGAUAAAUCUGACUAUAUAUACGUCAUAUUAUAUAGGUAUAAAACGAAUAUUGAUAGACUUUCAAAAUCGAGAAUUUUUUUGUGUGAUACUUGCAGCGGCCGUAGGGGUCAAACUCGAAAUAACGAAAACUGAUGUUCGCGAAUAUUAUUAACCAAUAAUUGAUUAUUAUGAUACAUCACGACGAUAUUGAAUGAAUAUUACUCUAUAACUUUUUUGUUAUUUCAUUGAAUUUCCCACGGUGUAAUUUCCAAUUCAACCAUCGGUUUCUUUAUGUCGGUAUCUACAAAAGAAAUUUCACAUUUUUAUACGUACGUUUGAUGAUAAACAAAUAAAAAUUAUUCUGCCGAACAAUAUUAGAUUGGUGAAUGGCGCGUUCAAACGUCAAUGCUGACCUCAUAUAAUAAUUUUUGAUAUACGCUCGUGAACAUACAGUAUUAUUAAAAACAAUUAAUAUUCAACUCACUCAAGUUUUUGAAUAUAAAUGCCAUCUCAUACAAUUAAUUCGUUUCAAAUUGUUAUAUAAGUACUAAUUAAUUAAUUAUAUUUACUAAACGCGUUUAAAUAGACUUGAUUAAAUAUCGUAAUAUUAAAAUAAUACACAAUUACAAUAAUUGAAGUCCCGAAAAAAUCAACCAUAGUUUCCCCUUAAUUUUUUUUUAUUUAUUUAUGUAUAGACAUAAAUAGGUAAGCCAUAUAUAUAUAUAUAUAUAUAUAAAAUACAAAUUAAUAAAUGUACUCGUAUUAUGUGCACAUUACAUAAUACAUAAAAUAGGUGCAAUAAUAAUUAUUAUUGUUGCUUAUAGUUUUGCAAUAUAAUAAGUCUUCCGAAUUACUGACCACUCAAAGGAUAUUCACUAACAAAAAUAACGACACAUACGAAUCGUUUUCAAUCGUGCGGUCAUUGUACCCAUACCUUUUUCAGUCUAUUGUUUUGCAUAUUGAAAAAUGUCCUUUGUCGGCUUUAGUGAAUCCACGGUUGAAAAACGUAUUAUAACAUAAUAUAUUGCUUUUUAAAAAUCAAGCGGCUAUUAUAUUAUUUUAUUGUCACAAACGUCAUUUUUCUGCGAAUACUCGCACAGGACAAGGUGCAUCAUCAAGGACUACACUGAUAUAUUCUAUUAUUCUUAUUACCACCCCCGUCAUGUAUUGUAUUUGAUCUUCCGCCACUGUCGGCUUUGUUGAGCAUACGUAUAGGUUAGGUAUAUGAAAAUUGUUCAUAUUUUAGUUUACGAGUACACGUGUAAUAUAGAAAUAUAAAAUGUAAAAAGAUUUUGAAAAAUCCAUUUAAAAAUCUUCGAAGAUUUAAUUUUGGUAACACACAAAAUAUAUAAUAAAAAAAAGAGCUGAUACUGGUCACGGGUGCGGCCACUGUUGUGAAUAGGUAGUUGGGAAGGUAGAAUAUAUAAAGUUAUUUAAUUUAUAACUGUAAUCAACAAUAAACCAUUAAUUACAAAAUAACGAUUCGGAGUGACGUACGGUUAUAUAUGUUUUGAAUAUUACGAUAUUUACGAUUUUCAUCGAAAUUGGAUUUUAAAAAUUAUAAAAAAAAUACAACAGUACACUCAAUUAUUUUUGGCCACUAAAUAUGACUUAUGAAUCUCCUGUCAAAUUUUCAAGUAUUUCUGUUAAGUCUAACAAUUUUAUUCACAGAGCACCGAAUAAAAAUACGUACAAAACUCUCAAAAUUAAAAUGUCUAUAAAUAGCUCAAAUGUUUUGAAAAUUUAUUAUGUCUAGAAAAAGUAAAUAUAAGUUAUGUUAUAAUUUCACAUAUCAUGUAUUCGAUUUUUUAGCUUUUUGUAACUUAGUAAGUAUUUAACAUUGUCUAGUUUUUUUUUUUUAGUUUUUAUUUGGUUUUAUUCAGGUAAGAUUAUUUGACCAAACAUAGAUGCUUCAAAUUUUAUACGAAAUUCAUUAUAAAUAAAACGAUAAAUAAAUUUAACGAAGUUAUAGAUUAUGUAUCCUACCUUUCCAACUUACCGCCUACAAUAGUGAUGUGAUAAUUCACACCUAUCAGCAUUAUCAGUUCUUAAAAAGAAAAAAAUUGUUGUACAUAAUAGGUACUUAAUAUUAAUUUAUUUUUAUUGGACUUAAGUCAAAAACAAAAGAGAAAUUAUUUAAAAGUUGGCUCGUUAUUUAUUAUUAUUAUUCACUAUAAUAAUACUUGGCAAAUUUUAAUUGUCAUCAACCGUGAGACAUUGAAACCUGCUGCAGCUAAUACAAUUUCCAAAUGCAUUUCGCAUGCAGUUUGUAUACCUGUAAUAUAUUAUAUCUUUUUACUGACGUUUUCUACAGUUAACUACAGUAACAGUAUUAUAAUAUUUAUAUACAUUAGACAAAAAAGAUAUAUUUUCUGUGUAUGUUUUAUAUUAAAUUCAUUAUUUUCUAUCAACCUCCCUGCCCCACCACCAAUGAAGAAACUCCAAAGAAUCAAACAAAUUUGCAUUUUGACAUUGAUGUUGUUUGGCCUGUGCCAUUUUUUUACGAUGUUCUAAUUGUCCAUUAGCACCGUUACAGUUAUAACAUCUGAUGGUUUUCCGGUUGCAUAAAACUUAAUGAACCACAGUUAUCUAUGUGAUUCAGUCACGCACAAGGCAAGUAUCUCGCAUUGCUCGAUUCGGGAAAAUUUCAAGAUGGUUUUAGUUAAGUAAAUUAUACUAAAGCGCCACAAAGACUACUAAAUUAAUAACAACCCAUUCAGAGGACUUGGCGUUCCACAAACACACACUCAUUCCUUAACUAUUUCAGAUACAAGUUUAAACAAAAUCUAAGUUCAUUAUUUAUAAUAGUUGUUCACGUUUUAUUAAACUUGCACAAAUUUAAUGUAAUCAUUUACUUGGCUUCUUGUUAAUGUAUUAUGCGAUAAAUAUGAAAAUUAGCAUAGAGAGUUCUGUUUUCGCAUGAUGACUACAAUAUGUCUACGUUUACCCCGCGAGAAUACGGAUGUGUUCGAUUUCGAAUUUAUGUUGUUUUUUUGUUGUUGCGGUAACUGCCAAUUAGUGUUCGGUAGGUACAGUAUCAGUAGGUAGUGAUUAAACGAUUCGCGACAAUUUUGAAGUGUAUCAUCGUGACUAUAUAUAUACCUGUAUAUAAUCGUCGUUGUUGGUGAUUUCCUGAAAUCCGUGUCCAAGUCCUCCGCAAUAGGCCCGAUAUACGUAUCUGUUUACAUUGAAAAAAGUUGAUGGUAUUUAUUAUAGCUAAAGUCUGUAACACUUUUUUGAAAUCCAAAAUAUUAGAAGUACAUAAGAAUAAAGUAACUUAAAUUUGACGCUUGCCAGACUGGUAUGAAACGUUAUUUAAGCCUCUCUCUACUAUAUUUCCGCGGGCUAUGGACUUAACUAAGAAAAAUCGUUAAUAUAACUCAACGAGUAUACAUAAUUAUUAUUAAAUCUUUACCACUUCUUUAUGUUUUCGUAAAUCGCAAUAAAAAUAUUUAUAUUCAUUGGAUUCACUUGAAUAUAUUUUGAUUGACGUUUCUGCUACAAGCUCGCAGUAAAAUUUGGAAAAUCUUGUUCGAGUCAAAUCACUAUAUAUACAGGGUAAUUCAUUAAGCAUGCUCAUCCCUUUUUUUGAUUAAAUUCAUUAGUUAAACACAUCGUAAUUCUGAUUUUUUAACUUAUAAGUGUAGUUAAAGCUAACAGCUACUUAGAUUUUUCACAGCAUUUAAGGAGUUUUUCAAAUGAGAACUUAUAUUAAAAAUUAGAAGCUUAUGGUUUUCCAAAGAUGUUUAUUUUGAAAUUUAAACAUAGAUUAAUAUUUAGUAGUUUAAGGAAUUUAAAAAAAAAAUGAGCUCUUAAACAGUUUAAAAAGGGGAGGGUUUCAAAGUUUGCUUGUUUGUUACUCAUUCACUUGCACAUUAUCAAAAAUAUAAGGUAUUUCUCAUAUAAACAGAAAGAAAAGAAAAUCUAAUAUGUAAAAAACCAAGACGACGCUUGAUGCUGAAGCCAGCAAAAAGGAAUGCUAUUCCUAACAAAAACCUAAUCGUGAAAAAAUAUGAAAUGCAAUGCAAUACUCUAUUUUUGGGGAAAAUUAUACAAUAAUGAUGAAUAUUUUAAUACCUAAUCUAUUAUAAUUUUAGUUUUCAUUUACGUGCGUGCUCAAAGUAUUCACGAUGCGGUGAUGUAUACAUAACGUGUAAAUUUUGUGUAUACCUUAUUAGUUAUUAGUUUCUAAAAAUAAUGUGAAAAUUGUAUAUCUGAACAUUUUCGGUUUGGCAAUGCGUACCACGGCGACGACGGUGUUUAGCCAGAACGCUUCUGCAUAUACUUGACCUUGAAAUGUUACACACAAAUAAUUGAUCUGCAGGUCGUACAAUCCACUAGUUAAGUUGGAUAAAUUUUUUCGAUGCGAAAUUAUACAGACUUUUAUUCUGCAAUAAUAAAUUUAAAGUAUUUUUCUAAUGUGGUCGUAUAUAUAUAUAUGUUGUUAUAGACUUUUAAUAGUUAUUUUUUAAGAAUACGAUAACUAAGCAGGUUAAGCAAGUGUUUGGGGGGCUAUAUUAUAAUAUUUUAAUAGGCAGUUGGUUUCCCCUAGAAUGUGUUGAGAUUAAAAUAGUUUAAUAAUUACAAGUACAAGACAAAAUAUGUUUUAAACUCUCGACGAUAGUAAUUAAUAGCUUAGUUAAUUAAUUAAUUUUAUAUAGUCACAAACGCAACGGGAUAUUAUAAUAAAUUAUAAGCUAUUUGGGAUAAUUGUUUUAAUUGACGAACUGCAAAAUAUACACGUAUGUUGUUUAUUAAUUAUAUUUAGUUUUGUUUGAAUUAUCGAUUUCGGUAUUAUAAGAAAAUUCGGUUCUCGGCAUAGUUGUAGUAGAAUUCGUGUGACCAAUCUUUAGCGGGAAAAAAAGACAAAAAACGAUUUAAGGUGUUACGGUUUGUUUCUUUCUUCCUGUUAUAUUAAAUUCGCGGAAUUAUUUUUAGAACGGAAGAACGGUCGCAUGGAAUGUGCGGUCGUUGUAGGUAGACAGUUGUUGUGUGACCGUUAGUGUCGGUAGCACAUAGUGGGGAGGGGGAGGCAAACCCGUGACCGCAUUCGCGGUGUAUUGGAAACCGAUGGAAAUAAUAAGAAUAAUAAUAUGGUUAUACGAUCGGAGGAAAAAAAGAAAAAGUCAAGGAAAAUGCAAAAAAAAAACUAAUUCUGUUCACAAAAAAUGGUACUAUUGUUGCGUGUGUUUUACCUUCUGCGUAACGGUUAUCGUUGUUACGUAUAGUGAUACCUAUAGACGUAGUCAGAUUUGUACAGUAGGUGUUGCUGAAAUGUACCAAAAGUCGUAAAUAUAUAUAUAUAUAUAAAGAUAGUUUUAAAUUUAAUACUAGAUUUAAUACUUAGAUAAUAAAAUGUAUAAAAUAUGUGUUCAAUAAUUUUACUUCCCAUAAUAUUAUUUUAGCGAAUGAUAGAUGAUAAUGAUAAAUUAAAAAAUAGUAAGUACAGGAUAGUUACAAACGAACACCUCGACUUUGAAAAUCUGUAUUUAUUAAAAAUAAAAAUAUGAUGAAACGUAUAGACUAAUUAAUCAGUGUAAUGAGUAAAUGAGUUUUUUUUCAGUAGUUGGACAUGUUUACAAUUGUUCAAUAUGCCAACCUUCCUCCCAAUGACUCACUCGAUUGACAUUAACUGCAUUGAAAGUCGAAUACAUUCUACACUUGCUGGAGCAUCUCUGAUGUAACCGUUUGUAUCUUUAACAGGGGCGAGAUUAGAAUAUUGCGAAAUGCACGUUUAACAACCAUCGCCGAUUGAGUUCGGGUUAAUGUCGUUCCCGUGUUUCAGGGGGUAGAGAGGAAUCACAUGUGAACAUGUUCAACUAUUAGAAAAAAAAAAAAAAUGUGAAAUUUACUUUUUACAUUGAUUAAUUGGCCUACGAUCAAUCGUGUUUCCUUUUAAUAAAUACAGGAUUUCAAAAUCAUGAAAAAAUCUUUUGUAAUCCCCCUGUGUCAUAUUCAUACAUUUACUGCCUUUUCUGCCCUCCUCCCACCACGAGAUUUUCUACUGACGUAUUUAAAAUAUAUUAUUUUGAUUUUUGGGGGCCCUUUAAUAACUCUCCAAAAAACUCUCUCGAAUCGAUAUACAUAAUCAAUAUUACGGGGGCUUACGAACCUCUCUCAAAAAAAAAAAAAAAUAAUAUUUGGUCUAGUUGCGCCUAUGAUUGUUGCGUAAGGUAUGGUUAAUCCGAAGAUCGUUGGCAAUAGACCCGCCCGCGCUAAUAAUAUGGUCGUAUUGAUCGUCUCUUUCUAUUCGGCCUCAUACCCUGCGGUCUUUUUUCGCGCGUGAUUCGAUUAUUAAUAAUAUUAUAUUCGGUCGCGACCAUUUCGUCUUCAUACGUCGCGCGUCGUCGUCGUGUUUAUGUUAUUAUUAUUAUUAUUGGCGGGAAAACGACGUCCGAGAAAACCAGCGGCGGCGCGCUGCUCUCUCCGGACGAGUCUGCGGCGGCGUCGCGUCGUCGGCUCGCUCGCACACUCGUAAAUAAUAUUAUUAUUAUAACGACAGCGUCGGCGGUGUAAUACUUAUAUAAGGCGCGUACGUAAAUAAUAACAAGAAUGAGAGAGAGAGAGUGCGAGGGAGGGAGCGAGUGUGAGGGGAAAAAGUGGAACGGCCUCCGUUUACGCGGAGUGCGGCGAGGGGCGAAAGGUGGUCCGUGUGUAUACGCGGAGAAAAAUAUGCGAACGAUUCCCACGGAGCGCCGCGCCGUCGCGGCUUAUUCACCUGCGCGUGUCGCGUCCUCCCGCGUGUGAUGUGCGCUAUUGUCGUAGGAGGUUACCACCUCGUUUACAAUAAUAAUUAUACCGCCUGUAUGCCGUGGCUAUACCGGGCGCGACGGAUAAUAAAACACAAUUAUGUGUACAAUAAUAUUGUGCGGUGUGCGCCUAUAUACGGUGUAACCCCGACCGGGUUCUAGUUUUUCUUUAUCUCAUUUACGGCGGCUCUUCGAAAACGACUCGAUUAUAUUAUUAUUAUUGUACGAACCGACGACGACGCCACCGAACACAAAUCGCUCUUCCCGUUGCAGACAUCACAAUCCUCGGGAGGUUUUUUUUUUUUUUUUUUUUUUUUUAUGUUCACAAGGCGGCGUCACCGUCGCCGCCCGUUUCGUGUUUGCUUCGUGUAUUUCCAUUGUGUCCGGUUUAAAAAGAAAUAUAUACAUAUUGUACUGUAUUUACGGUCGAUACUUGGGAUGCCCGACUACGGCGGUCCGUUUUAUGUACGGUUUUUAUAAUGUGCAGAAUAUUAUAGGCGAAUCUGCAAGUGUUCAAAGCCAGUAUCCAGUGAAUGAGUAGGCCAAAGAAAAUGAUAGUACGGGGUGAUAUGAGGAUAUGUGAGGUAAAUGGAGAAAUCGUAGUAAUGUGCAUAUAGAAAGACGUGUGAUAGGGCGAGAAUUGCGCGUAUGGCAGGACACUUGACGAGAAAUACUGAAUACAACGAUUUUUACUUUUAAACACAAUAUAUGUAUAUUAUAUACAUAUCAACAUGAUAUUAGAUACUUUGUAAUCUUUAGAUACUAAAUAUUGUAUCUAUAAAAAAUUCAAAAUAUAAUAAAGAUAUCAAUAUUAUUUAUUUUUGAAAAAUAAAUAUCAAACUUAGAUUAUUAUUCUUAAGGGAGACUGGGACUGGUUGUCACAAAGCUCAGUUCACAGGCGCUGUUAUCACUUAGCGAUCGUAACGAAUACUAAUUCUUUACAUUAACUAUAAGAAUAACACUCACUCGUAUUAAUGUAAACAAUGGCUAGUAUUUGUCACGGCCGCUAUGUAAUAACAGCACCUGUGAACUGACUAACUGAGCUUUGAAACAACUAGCUCCGAUCUCUCUUCUUAUUAUUAAGAGGACGUUGUACUUGUGUCUGCUGUUAUUCCGUUUUAUAAACAUAGCGAAUUAGCGUUCAGCAGGAACAACUCUGGGCUGUUAGUAUUUUAAUUCUGCAUAAUCUAUGCAACUAUUAUGGUUUUUUUUAUAUAAAUAUUUUGAUUUUUAAGCAAGAUAAAUGCGUUUUUAAAUUGUAAUAUUUCAAAUAUUCAUAUCUUGGAUUAUGGGUACUAGCGUACUUUACAUUCCUAUGCGAACAUAAUAGCGUUUUUGAUUUGACGAUUAUUAACGUGUACACCAAUAUAUAGAACUGCACGAAUGCAACUUUCACGACACUAUAAAAGGUUUUAAUAUCGAAUAAGAACACAAUAAUAUUAUUAUCAAAUGGGGUUAACCAUCGUGGAAAAGUUAAUGUAUUAUCUAAUUAAAUUGUUUAGAUUUUGUUGGUGCAGUGAGAAAUGUAUUGGUUUUACUAUGAUUUUUUAAGUUUUUCUGCAUGUAAACGAUUUGUCUACAAUAUAAAUUAAACAACACUACCUUAUCUUAUCUUUUUAACUUUCCACCUAAAAUACUGGCACAUUCAUCAGCAGUAUUAGCUCUCUUUUAAUAUAAUAAUAGUAUUAAUGUUUGAAGUCACAGGACAGUGAAAUAUUUAAUUAUUUUUUGUUGUUGUGAAUAAUGAAUCUUAUGUUUCAUGCACAAUACAAACAGUAAUUUCAAGUAACUGGGAAUACAUUUAAAAUAUAAUAAUAUGUGAAGCUAAACAUCUUCACUAUCAAUAAUUUCAGUAUCGAGUAUUUCUUUUCUGAUAAAAAUCCUAUGUAGUUGCUCUCAGUUUUUAAAUACUUUUCGUUGUACAGGUUGUUGAACAUGUCGUUUCAACAUUAUCUUCAUGUAAUGAUUUUUAUUUGUAGGGAUGUUUUGUUGCAUUUAAAAACACUUUUCUCUCCAUUUAUCCAUUCACCAUCCGGCUGUAAAGUAAAGCUACUGUUAUUUAGUUGUCUAACGUUUUGAGUUUUUUUUUUAAAUUAGUAAAGUGAUUUUAAAAAUUGUUAAAAAUUGAUGAAAUUUUUGAUUUUAUCUAGUUUAUUUCAUCCGAUACACACAUAUAGCCGCCACGUGAGUACCCUGGUGACUUCGAGAACAUUCUCAUCAAAUUAUUAUUUAUCUCUGUCUGUAGCCACAUAAAAUUAGUCUACGGGAUUUAUGCAACUGCAGUACAUGAUAUUUAAAUGCAAAAGAGUAUAGCUAAUAAAUGUGAAUAGGAAGAAAAAUAUUUCUCUUCGAUUUCCGCACACUGAACGUCAAAUGCAGUAAAGCCUUAUUUUUUCUACUAUAUAGUGUGAUAAAAGAUAAAUAUGGUUUUUACAUUAUUUCCUUUCGGUUCGUUAUAAAUUCGAACGUUUUAAACCGAGUAAUAGAUUAAAAAAAAAAACCACCAAUAGUUUUGAUUGACGAUAAUAGGUGUGUAAUACUGUAUUAAUAUGGCGGGAGGUGGAAAUGAUUGUUUUAUUUUUUAACGUACCUGCCUACACCUAUAUAGACGCAUUUUCAAGGUCUCGUUAACUUCUGUACCUAUACGUUUCUUUGUUUCUCAAAAAUGCAGUAUUUUAUUUCAAUUAUUUCGUUAGUGUUAACCAUAGCAUAGCAUAACAUUGUUUUAAUUAAUUUUAUGCCGUUUGUUUAUCGUAAUAAUUUAUGAGCUAUGACGUCGAAAGAAAAUGGGUAUUUUUUCAGCAUGUAACUAGCGUUUAACUGCAAUAUUUAUAUAAAAAAAAAAAAAAAUUACAUAUGCAUUUAUACACCUAAGUAUAAUUAUGAUAUUACUGUAUUUUUAUUUUUUGGCGUUGAUUGCUGCGCUAUAUAAUAGUAGUGUAAAUAUUAUAAAUCUGCUGUCGGACUUAACAAUUAUUUUACUACCCAUUGCCACGCUGACCGUGAUGAUAAUAAUAAUUAAGUAAAAAUUUAUCUAGACGCCACGAAUUAUAAAAAAAAAUAAAUAAUAAAAAUAUUGGUAUAUUUACAAGAUGAAAUUUUCCAAAAACUACACGUUUUCUAAAGAAGUUGAAAAAAAAAACACUAGUUAAUAAUUAUAAUAUUAAUUUGUAGAAUUAAGUCGUGUUUCCGUUGCGUAAUAUGGUGGCUCUUUAAAACAUAACAAUAUUAUAACCUGCAAUUAAUUUUAAUAUUACUGUAUAAUAUAAUAUUAUGCGUUAGUAUUUACUUUUAUACGUGCACCCCGUGUUAUUUUUUAAUCUUAUUGUUUUUUUUUUUUUACUUCAAUACCUACUUGUAUACAGUAAUUAAAUAAUUCAAUACGUUAAAUAAUAAUAAAAAAAAAAACAAGAUACGAUUCGACCGGUAUGAUUAUAUUGCUGUAUAGUUUAUUAUUAUUACGCCUUGUUGAUUUGACUAAGUAUAUUAUAAAAAAAAGAAACGUAACACUGCAUAUUUCCUCGAGACAUUAAAUUUGGUUUUUUUUUACAGCUUGUGAUAAUUAUUAUCCAUACAUAAAUAUAUAUUAUUUACAAGUAUAGUAUUUACUAUGCUCAAAAUAUAAUGUUUCAACAUAUUGUCGGUCUCCAGGAUGAAGAGCUUAUCAUUUUUUUUUCACAAUUGUAUGCAAUUUUUCACACUUUAUUUUUUGGUCUAAAUCACGUGAUCGUAUGUAUAUUCUAUAUGUUUAAAAAUGUAUAAAAACAAAAAAAAAACAUUUUACAUAUUACAUCGUAAAAAUAGAUACGCACCUAUAUAUGCAUUUUACAAAUUAAUACGACUAACCACAAUAAUAAUUAAAUUAAAACUUUUUUUUUUAUAAUACCGUUGCAGACUCAAUUUUUACCAUUUGUAAUUUAAAAGAUUACCUUAUUAUUUCUAUAAUUAUCGAUUUUACGUAGAUAUAAUAAGAGUUGAAUUAUAUAAGUUUCAAACUCUUGAAUGAAGGUAUUUUUAAUAAUGGUGGUUGCAUAAAUAUAUAUAUAUAUUUUUUUUAUAUAAACUAAGUGUAUUUUUUUUAAUUAUUUCAUUUUUAUUAAACGCGGAUAUUUGUCGAGCAAAGGCCUCUAUUUAAAAAAUAAUAAUGAAGUAUAUAGGACCUUCGAAUAGGUAUAGAAUUUUUAUUAUUGGUGUUAUAAUUUCAAUAUACGCAUCGAUAAAAGACCUCUAAAAACGCAAAAUACGCCCUUGAAAAUUUAACGUCGUUGUCUGCACCGCCGCAACGGAUGUAACUACUUCUGUUUUGUGAAUGAUAAAAAUAUUUUAUUGAUUUAUACUAUAUUAUUAUAUUACAUUUAUACAACGAAACGGAAAUGUUUGAAUAAUAAACAAACCAAAAAAAGUGUUCGUCUUUCGUUCGACAAAAUCAUUUAAUAUUACCUAAAGUGUUUUUUUUUUCACAAUAAUCUUAUAAAGGAAUGUCCAAAGUAAACUAUGCUAUUAGAUAGCUACAACUACGUAUCAACAGAGCUGCAUUAAGCUAUACUACUACCCGUGGGCAAAAUGCAUUUUGGCUACACAUCUUUUGGUACACAAACAUUUUCCGCCCCUCCUAGUGCCAUAAAGUUUACCUUCCCCGGGCAAUUGCCCACAUUUGCCACCCGUUAAACGCGACUAUGUCUAUCAAUAAUAUUAUUGCGAUUAUAGAUUCUAUUUAUAUCUCCUACAUACCUACCUACUUUCCUAUCUACCUACAUAUUUGAAAUAGAUAAUAUUCUUUCUUUUUUUUUUUCAACGAUUGUACUGUUGUAUUAAUAUACGAUUAUUCUAUUUUUAGGUGUCGUUACUAUGUUGGAUUGUCGACUCGCCGCAGCUGACCGAUAGAAAACAACACGAGUUCGGUAAGUCAACUAUGUAGAUAAUAGUUAAAUGU